Molecule: long non-coding RNA, 365 nt
Filed under: Malus domestica (apple)
Lineage: Eukaryota; Viridiplantae; Streptophyta; Magnoliopsida; Rosales; Rosaceae
Description: long non-coding RNA (MDOM_LNC018763)
Source: RNAcentral
CAUAGGUUUAUAUAUAAUGCAUCAAAACAAUUUUAAGAAUCAAGAACAAAGUGAAGGUUAGUCUUAUACCUCUUGAUCUAGACUUAAGACCAAGGAUGGACCACCUCCAAGGCCUUUGCUCCUUGAAAUCCUUGAGCCUAGCUUCCCUCGCCUCCUCCACUUUGUUACAAUGAGUGCUCCUAGGUUCUCUUCAAGUUCCCAAAGUAGGAAACCUCUAAAGAUCCUCACCCACUAGUGUAGUGAGAAGGAUGAAGGAAUAACCAAAAGGGUGUAAGAGAUGUUAGUAAAAACCCCCCUUUGGUGGCCGGCCUUUGUGGUUCAAGAUGGCUAUUUUCUUUUGCCUCUUUUGUUGUUCAAAACUCACA